Molecule: ribosomal RNA, 552 nt
Filed under: Irpex laceratus
Lineage: Eukaryota; Fungi; Basidiomycota; Agaricomycetes; Polyporales; Irpicaceae
Description: eukaryotic LSU rRNA
Rfam family: Eukaryotic large subunit ribosomal RNA
Source: RNAcentral
CGAGUGAGCGGGAAAGCUCAAAUUUAAAAUCUGGCGGCUUUGGUCGUCCGAGUUGUAUCCUAGAGAAGUGUUUUCCGCGUUGGACCGUGUAUAAGUCUCUUGGAACAGAGCGUCAUAGAGGGUGAGAAUCCCGUCUUUGACACGGACUACCAAUGCUUUGUGAUACACUCUCAAAGAGUCGAGUUGUUUGGGAAUGCAGCUCAAAAUGGGUGGUAAAUUCCAUCUAAAGCUAAAUAUUGGCGAGAGACCGAUAGCGAACAAGUACCGUGAGGGAAAGAUGAAAAGCACUUUGGAAAGAGAGUUAAACAGUACGUGAAAUUGCUGAAAGGGAAACGAUUGAAGUCAGUCGCGUUAGCUAGAACUCAACCAGGCUUGCUUGGCGUAUUUUCUAGUUAACGGGCCAGCAUCAGUUUUGACUGCAGGAAAAAGGCCAGGGAAAUGUGGCACCUUCGGGUGUGUUAUAGUCUUUGGUCAUAUACUGCGAUUGGGACUGAGGUUCGCAGCACGCGCAAGCUGUGCUUAGGAUGCUGGCGUAAUGGCUUUAAACGACCC